RNAcentral lists this ribosomal RNA (391 nucleotides) under Pseudocalanus sp. RNAcentral describes it as "partial small subunit ribosomal RNA". It matches the Rfam family "Eukaryotic small subunit ribosomal RNA", at positions 582 to 975 of the family's 1831-position model. Lineage: Eukaryota; Metazoa; Arthropoda; Copepoda; Calanoida; Clausocalanidae. The record is from RNAcentral.
AUUCCAGCUCCAAUAGCGUAUAUUAAAGUUGUUGUGGUUAAAAAGCUCGUAGUUGGAUCUCGGCGGUCUGAGGGCGGUUCGCUUCAGAGCGCUACUGCCCUAUAGACCGUAGUUUUGCCAGAGGUCUCAGGGUGCUCUUAACCGAGUGUCUUGCGAUGCUGGCAGGUUUACUUUGAAAAAAUUAGAGUGCUCAAAGCAGGCUUUUACGCCUGAAUAUUCGUGCAUGGAAUAAUAGAAUAGGAAGUCGUUUCUAUUUUGUUGGUUUUCGGAAAUCGACUUAAUGAUUAAUAGGGACAGUUGGGGGCAUUAGUAUUCCAUUGUCAGAGGUGAAAUUCUUGGAUUUAUGAAAGACUAACUUCUGCGAAAGCAUCUGCCAAGGAUGUUUUCAUUG